This 1131-nucleotide unclassified non-coding RNA is filed under the name Hevea brasiliensis (rubber tree). The record is from RNAcentral. Lineage: Eukaryota; Viridiplantae; Streptophyta; Magnoliopsida; Malpighiales; Euphorbiaceae.
UUUUUUUUUUUGUGUUUUUUUUAAUCCUUCUUGUUUUCUGUUUGUAAUUCCAUUGAUGUCUUGAUUUGCUAGUGUGUAUUAUUAGAUGCAUGCAUCGCUUUUUCAUUUGGGUUUGCUGCGGUGGGGAUUUUAGUUUCAGGUUGAAGUUAUUUUCUGUAUAAUGAGCUUGGAAUGGAAGCAAUGUUUUGUGUUUGAACGUGCUGUUAUUUUCCUUUUCCUCAUCAUCUAGCCUUCUAUGUGAUAAUUUUCGCAGUUGCAUUCAAUACUAGCUUGCUGAAUAAUUUUUUGGCCAAACAAGUUCUGAAAACUACGUGUUGUGAAAUCCUGUGCCAGUUUUGAAGUUUCUGUGAACUAUACCAGUCUAAAAUCUUGGCUGCUGGAGAUAGUGUUGCUUAGCGAAGCAUUUUUAUUCGGUGAUUUGGUUUAUUUUGUAAUUGCGUGCAAAAGCAUAUACAUAUGUGCAUAUUAAAUUUUGUAAAACAUAUAAUCCAUUGAACUUGUAAAAUAUUGCUUUCUUCAUGUUUGUCACUGUUGAGAUGAUUAUGUGAUUUGCUAUUCAUCUUCUUGUUCAAUGACGCAUAGGAAAGAUGUUUGCAGCUGUUUCCAUUAUUUUUGUAUUUUGUUGUUUUGAUUGUGGCUUUCCCUCUUUUCAAUGAUUCAAGAGGCCACUUGAUCCUAUGGUAUGCCAAACUGCACACUAGUGGCCAUAUAUUUAAAUUCUUGUAGGAAGGCAGCCCUAAUGCUAAUUGAAUUUUAUUCAUUGUUUUGAGAGGGACCUUGAAAAGAAAAUUUGAACAUAUGGUGGAGUUGUGGACAAGCAAUGAUAUAUUGGUUGAAAUUGGGUGGACUCCAUUAAUUGUGAUUAUUUGUAAUUAACAGUCAAAGUUCAGAUGUUGAUAACACAAGAAUGGACUUUUGAACUUGGAGCUUGUUAUUUCACCUUAACUGGACUGCAGAUGAACUUCUUUGUUUAUUCAUGAGGAUGGCAGCUAUGCUUAAAUGACAUAGAAAGUUUAGUUCCAGAGAGUGAUUCAAAUACGAACACUAACAGGACAAAAACCUACAAUUAUUCUGAUGCAGUAUAAGAAGCUUAGUGUUUUAUUUAGAAAUUUUAAUUAUUAUAGAAUUAGG